Molecule: long non-coding RNA, 688 nt
Organism: Oncorhynchus keta (chum salmon)
Lineage: Eukaryota; Metazoa; Chordata; Actinopteri; Salmoniformes; Salmonidae
Exons: 3
Source: RefSeq, a predicted model, not a curated record
GUGGGACACAAUCAUGAAGUGGAACAACAUUUAUUGGAUAUUUCAAACUUUUUUAACAAAUCAAAAACUGAAAAAUUGGGCGUGCAAAAUUAUUCAGCCCCCUUAAGUUAAUACUUUGUAAAAAAAAAUUGGGUUAGGCUGAGCUAAAAUGCUAUUGUCCACAACUGUUAUCCCCAACACGACAACUAGAUGGAGCUGUACUGAUAACCACAACCGUACAAACCAUCAUUUAUCAUAACGCCAACCUAAGAAGAGGGAUACGUAUUUAUACUCGUAUCUCUUUAGUAUAAGCAAGAACAUGGAUUAAAAAGUAACCCUUUUAAUACAUAGCAUAGCUAUUUUGAAAGUAAUUAAGGAAAUGCAUAUCACUUGGACAAGUGUUGUGAUUUACCAUUGUGUGAAUGAGUGACUCAUUUCUGUGUUAUCUAUGCAGGUACCAUCUAUCAGGCAUAUGAGCCCAUUCUCUUCCAGUCCAUUCGGAACCCUUUUUGUAUUCAGAUGCAUAGAUCGUGUUUUGAUUGAUGGCAAUGACAAAGGCAUCUCUAAAAUAGUGUACAGGGCAUCUUUUCCUGCACCUGAAAUCUGCUCCUGCAUCCAUCCCAGUCGUCAACAGCGCAUUGGGGUCGUGCAGUGGAAGAGACAGGCUUGGUCCUUUCAGUUUGAGUGACAUCACUUGGUUGACAGCCAA